Molecule: long non-coding RNA, 1320 nt
Organism: Schistocerca gregaria
Lineage: Eukaryota; Metazoa; Arthropoda; Insecta; Orthoptera; Acrididae
Exons: 3
Source: RefSeq, a predicted model, not a curated record
ACACGUUGUCGUAUUCAGAUGUCGUCUUUGGUGACGCUGACAUUACUGACGCCUAUGCGGUUUUUACAGAUGCCGGCGGAAAGCAAGUAUCCGUAGGCGAUUCAACAGACUUCAGUUGGUUGGCAAAGUUUUUGAAAGAGUUGCUAGACGAUGACCCUGAGCUUGCUCUGGCUCUUGGUGCUAUUACGGCGCUCACAGAAGUUAUCAAAAGAAGCAAAGAGGCUACCCUGAUGGGUUUGCACCACGAGCUCGAGAAGGCGACGUCGUUCUUGUGUGAUGCAUUUGGAUCAACAAGCAUGUCUGUCAGGUCUGGUGCAGAUAUAUUUUUGUGUUUUGUGACGCGAACUUGGCUUGAAAUUCCUGUACGGUUUUAUUUCGCUUUUUCUCCGCCGAAUAACGCGUGACUGACCGCGAAAGAAAGGAUUUCCAUGCAUGCAAAAUGCGCUUGGUAAAGAGGGGAGAGCAACUCAAGGCGCAAACUAUGACUGCUCGAAAGUAUAUCGCUUCGUUCGCCGAGUCUUUUUUGCGCGACGGGAUGACUAUUUUGAGCCAUGGGUAUUCGCGUGUCGUAUACAGCAUUAUCAAUGCAGCCGUAUCCAAGGGGAAACGCAUUACAGUUGUUCAAACAGAAGCCAGGCCUCAAGGAGAUGGCAUGAAAAUGGCGGAGCGUAUGAGUUCUGAAGUCAACGUGCACAUUACCUUGAUCCCGGAUUCUGCCGUUGCCUAUGUGAUGGGCGACGUUGACAUGGUCAUCGUAGGUGCGGAAGCGGUUGCUGAAAAUGGUGGCAUCAUCAACAAAAUUGGCACAUAUCAGUUGGCGAUUGUUUCGAAGGCGCUCAAUAAGCCGUUUUAUGUCGCCGUUGAGAGUUUUAAGAUGACCAGAAUAUAUCCACUUAACCAGCGCGAGAUAAACAAUCGACAAGUUCCAUUGGACACUGCUACAACAGGACAGUACCAGACCAAUUCUACGAAUGAGUUUUGUCAGCUGGCCCCAAACGUUCGACUUAACAGUCCUUCUUUAGAUUUUACGCCUCCACAGUAUAUCACUUUGUUAUUUACAGACUUGGGUAUUCUCACGCCAUCAGCCGUUUCAGAUGAACUGAUCAAGUUGUAUUCCUAGGCAUUGUUUGACUGACUUGUCGAAUUUCGUGUUGUAUCAAAACACAGCGAGGUGAUUAAAAAAUUUUUGCGGCCUUUGUGUUUUUUCCCAUUUUUUUUGGCGUUACUCUGGAGGGGCGAUGAACGGAGUCUGAGUGGGUUCCUGGUCCUGCUCGAUUUGCCUGGCGAACGUCUCGAAUUGCUUCAGAACAGAUGACCGAC